UCAAUUUGAUGCUAUAUCUACAA
This 23-nucleotide small nuclear RNA is filed under the name Arabidopsis thaliana (thale cress). RNAcentral describes it as "snRNA_00424". Lineage: Eukaryota; Viridiplantae; Streptophyta; Magnoliopsida; Brassicales; Brassicaceae. The record is from RNAcentral.